Molecule: non-coding RNA, 25 nt
Filed under: Mus musculus (house mouse)
Lineage: Eukaryota; Metazoa; Chordata; Mammalia; Rodentia; Muridae
Also listed under: 1 other name
Source: RNAcentral
UAAAAGUCAUGAGCUGGUCCGGGAC